GGGGGUAUAGCUCAGUGAUAGAGCGCAUGCUUAGCAUGUGCAAGGUCCUGGGUUCCAUCCCAAGAACCUCCA
This 72-nucleotide transfer RNA is filed under the name Camelus ferus (Wild Bactrian camel). It matches the Rfam family "tRNA". From Rfam's summary of the family: Transfer RNA (tRNA) molecules are approximately 80 nucleotides in length. Their secondary structure includes four short double-helical elements and three loops (D, anti-codon, and T loops). Further hydrogen bonds mediate the characteristic L-shaped molecular structure. tRNAs have two regions of fundamental functional importance: the anti-codon, which is responsible for specific mRNA codon recognition, and the 3' end, to which the tRNAs corresponding amino acid is attached (by aminoacyl-tRNA synthetases). tRNAs cope with the degeneracy of the genetic code in two manners: having more than one tRNA (with a specific anti-codon) for a particular amino acid; and 'wobble' base-pairing, i.e. permitting non-standard base-pairing at the 3rd anti-codon position. The record is from Rfam by way of RNAcentral. Lineage: Eukaryota; Metazoa; Chordata; Mammalia; Artiodactyla; Camelidae.